CCACGAAUCAGCACCCUGGACAGCGCCUCAAGAGAUCAGCACCAAGGUCUGGGGCACCGACGAGCCAGAGGUCAGUGGCGGAGUAACAGGGACUCCUCGAGGCAACUAGCAGACCGGUUUACAACCUGAUGACAGCGGGGACGGCCAAUCACACGAGCAACAGCAGAGCCAAUGGAGGAGCUGAUCGUCGUCCCUCCUGAGCGUAAAUACUCCGUCUGGAUCGGCGGCUCCUUCUCCACCUUCCAGCAGAUGUGGAUCAGCAAGCAGGAGGACGAGGCCGCUCACAGCAUCGUGCACCGCGAGUGCUUCUAAGGCGCUUUUCAGAC
Molecule: non-coding RNA, 326 nt
Organism: Gasterosteus aculeatus aculeatus (three-spined stickleback)
Lineage: Eukaryota; Metazoa; Chordata; Actinopteri; Perciformes; Gasterosteidae
Source: RefSeq, a predicted model, not a curated record